This 480-nucleotide ribosomal RNA is filed under the name uncultured bacterium. RNAcentral's name for it is "partial 16S ribosomal RNA". It matches the Rfam family "Bacterial small subunit ribosomal RNA", at positions 28 to 507 of the family's 1533-position model. The record is from RNAcentral.
GAUGAACGCUGGCGGCGUGCUUAACACAUGCAAGUCGAACGGAACUACUCCAAUGAGAGUCUUCGGAAAGGAUUUGGUUUAGUUUAGUGGCGGACGGGGGAGUAACGCGUGGGUAACCUGCCCUAUAAAGGGGGAUAACAGUUGGAAACGACUGUUAAUACCGAAUAAGCGCACAGGAGCGCAUGCUCCGGUGGGAAAAACUCCGGUGGUAUAGGAUGGACCCGCGUCUGAUUAGCUGGUUGGCGGGGUAACGGCCCACCAAGGCGACGAUCAGUAGCCGGCCUGAGAGGGUGAACGGCCACAUUGGGACUGAGACACGGCCCAAACUCCUACGGGAGGCAGCAGUGGGGAAUAUUGCACAAUGGGGGAAACCCUGAUGCAGCGACGCCGCGUGAGCGAAGAAGUAUCUCGGUAUGUAAAGCUCUAUCAGCAGGGAAGAAAAUGACGGUACCUGACUAAGAAGCCCCGGCUAACUACGUG